Molecule: RNA transcript, 2923 nt
Organism: Zea mays
Lineage: Eukaryota; Viridiplantae; Streptophyta; Magnoliopsida; Poales; Poaceae
Gene name: proline-rich receptor-like protein kinase PERK1
Exons: 9
Source: RefSeq, a predicted model, not a curated record
CUCUCUCACAUGUCUCAUUCCUGCCCACACGCUUCUCUCUCUCACCAGCGCCAGGCUGCGCCGCCUCCGCCCCACCGCCUACAGGCCGCGCCGCCUCCGCCCCACCGCCUGCAGGCCGCGCCGCCUCCGCCCCACCGCCUGCAGGCCGCGCCGCCGCCCCGGCUCGGCACCGACAGCAGGCCACGCCGCCGCCGUGCCACCGCCCCGGCUCGCGCCACCGCCCUGGCUCGGCACCACCGCCCCGGCUCGGCACCGACAGCGGGUCGCGCCGCCGCCCCUGCUCGCCAACCCCAGCGGUUCAAACAUUAGCUCGUUUUCACUGCUACUGCAUUGGGUUCUGCAUAGUUCUUCCUUGGUUGUUUGAUGUAAACCACAGCUGGGGAGCUUAGCUGUAUAGAACUGAUUUCACGUGUUUGUUGACGAGUUUAGCUGCAUAGGUACCGAUGAGUUUGUCCUGAACAGAAAUUUUAUUUGGAUUCAGUUCGGUGAGCUCUUAAUUGUGUCCUACCCACAUCCCUCUGCAUCCCUCUGCAGGGUGCAAGAACUGUGCUAACGUGUGUUCUAAGGUCUUCCAAAUCGAGGAUGAUUUCGGACGGGCAAGAGUUUACGACCAAUCAGGCAGCACAGAACUGAUUCAAGAAGCUAUUGACAGUUGGCAAGUUCACGCUGGGAGAAAAGACAAGCCAAAGUCCUGGAGAAGGUAAGAAGGCGGAUGAGCCAAGAUGAUUCCAGAAAGGGUGGCUCAUGGAGUGACAUCUGGGGAGCACCAACAAGAUACGAGAAGAACGGUACAUCCCAUUACUAAAGGAGACAUUUAUGUUCCCACAAAGCUUGGGCAUUUUAGGUGGAAAACCUGGUACAUCAACACACAUUGCUGGGGUACAGGAUGAUAGGGCUCUCUACCUAGAUCCCCAUGAAGUUUAGAUGGUAAUAGAAUAAACAUAGAAGGCGCUUUCAGUUUGCCGUGUUCCGCAAGGAAGAGAGCUAGUUAUAGAUCUUUCUGAGUGUACAGUUUAUUUGGAGGGGAGAAGGAUAAAGAUGAGAAUGGCGAUGAAGCGCCAUCGAAAGUAUUGGCAAAUAUUAAGUGGCCUGAAACACUCGAGACUGAUUUUAUCUACAGUGAGAAAACAAUCAAUUUUCCUAUACUGAAAUAGUUACUCCUUCCAUACCAAAUUAUAAGUCGUUCUAGCUUUUUUAGGCUCAGUUUUUGUUAUCCAUCUAGAUAUACACUAUGCCUUGGUAUUAUUUUUUAGAUGUUUCUUGCUUGGGUAAAAUUAUUUUAUAGGUGCUUUAUCAUUUGGGACUUCAAUUAAUCCACAGUUCAUUGCAAGCUUUGCUUCUGCUGCUGGUAAACGUCCUCAUCAAGAUUUCGACUCUCAAGAAUCUGAUCCAGAGGCAAUUCUUAACUGUUUGCUGAAGCUUACUGUAUUCUAGAAAAUCACUGGAAUAUGUAUAUCUUUUCUUGAUGGACAUAACCACUUAAGUGUUCCUUAAUUUUCGUAGUGGGGUUGGUGGAUAGCAAACCAUGAGCUGAAGAAGCCAUCAAUUAGUCUGUUGUUUCCAACAAUCAUCCUCCUCAGUCGCCGCCAUCAACAGCAGCAGCAGCGAUGCUAAAUAGUAGUGGUGGAUCUGGUUCUAACUACUCUGGUGGCGAGAUCCUACCUCCACCAUUUUUUUAUCUUUAUUAUCUGUGAUUCUGCAAUCCACAUGUUUGAUUUUUUACUUAGUUUCUCUUUGAGACCGGUCGCCAUGUUUGGUUAGCACAUCUAGAAUGCAUUACAAUUGGAGGCAAUAGCUGUUCACUAUCCACUAUAACCUGAAAGCUUAGCUGUUCAACUGAGCUUUCUGAUUCUUCCAUUUUUUUCCAUUCAAGUAUAUGAUAUUCUUGUGUGCUAUUCAAUAUUACAAAUAACAAAUUUGCAUAUGAGAAUAAUUAAGUAAAUUUGGCCACCUAAUCAGUAGGAUUGUUUGGUUGGAGGAAUUUUUGUAGCAUGUGAAACUUGAGCUAAUUAGAAAGCAACCACUACCUUCUCUUCAGCAUGAAAAAAUAGCUUAGCCAUUUCUUAGAGUUAAGCCCUUAGCCACUUGCUGGCCUUAUCGUCUGGAAGAAGAAAUGGUACUCAACUGCUGGUCUCUUUGGCAAAUUUUUCUUUGCACUUUUCUUGUUCGAACUGGCAAUCCACAACCAAGUACCUUGCUUGCACCAACAAAAGUCCCUUCUACUGUAGGGCAAUCCAUGGAUUUAUUGCUUGUCCUGAAAUUUGAUAGAGGCAUUCAUGAUAUCAGUUGCUCGUUAAUUCCAUUUGUUUCUUGUUCUCUUGUGCAUUGUUAUGACAUAUUUGCACCUUUUGCGGGGAACGAUCGACCAACAAUGGAGUGGCCCACUAGAUUAAAGAUCGCUCUGUGUGCUGCCAAGGGUUUAGCUCAUCUUCAUGAAGACUGUCAUCCAAAGAUCAUCCACCGCGACAUUAAGGCAUCUAACAUUCUUCUUGACUUCAAAUUUGAAUAUAAGGUUGCUGACUUUGGACUUGCAAAGUUCACUACUAAUAAUAACACCCAUGUUUCAACAAGAGUAAUGGGCACCUUUGGGUAUUUGGCACCUGAGUAUGCAGCGUCUGGCAAGCUCACAGAAAAAUUUGAUGUAUUUUCUUUCGGAGUCAUGCUUCUUGAGCUUAUUACUGGGCGGCGACCAAUUGACACAACCCAAUUGGCACUGCUUGCUAUAAGCACAUAUGUACUUCCAUUUGCAUGUUGUAUAAUACUAAUACCAAUUGCAAAAUUAUAGUUAUUUUUUCUACCCUUGUUAGUUAAUAAGCAUAUUUCUGGUCAAUAGGUUGUAUUCUUAUUCUUGUAACCGUGUUAAUUAAUGUUAUGGACUUGUAGUCUUGUAUUACCUUGUGAAUAUAUCUGUCCCUGCCUGCCA